UGAUUUCUCAUUUGCUCCCAAACCCUGAAGAGUACUCUUGCCAGCGUGCCAUCGUCGACCGACUGGAGCAACCAUCGCCAACUGGACCCAUCGCUGGCUGGAGAGCCGGUAGUCACCUGAUGAAGAAGAAGGGAAAAAGUGGAAAAAAGGAACUCAAUUUUCUCCCAUUAAUGAUUUUCUAAAGAAAUUAAUAAGGUAUUAUGAGAAUUUUGAGACACCCAAGAGAUCUUAAUUUCUUUUCCUUUCAAGUUCUCCAAAGACAGGUAAGAUCUUGUGAUUCUUUAUUAGCCACCUCCAUAUGAUCAUAUUUAUUCAUUAGGCUUCGCAGAAAUUUUUCAAUAACCUUUUAGGUUUUCAAAAUUUCUAUAUUUGAUGCCAUAGAAUUUGAAAUGGAACUCUAGUAUACUGGAAUCUCAGUUGCUUGAUAUAUUUGGAAGGGUGAAUCGUGUCUUUUUGUGUCUUAUUCUUUAGGAGAUUUGUAUGUGCUUUAGAUAAUUGAUUUUCAUUUUCUAGUUGUUUGUAUUCCUUCAACAAUAUUUCAUAAAUAAUGAGAUUCAAGACACAAUUCAUUAGAUUAAUUUAGUAGUAAAAAAUUUCUCCAUUAAAACGAGUCACGAGAGAAACAAGAUUAUUGUUUGACAUUAUUUUUCUUUUCUUGGCUCUGAUAGUAGUUAGAAGAAAAGAAGGCUUGGUAGAUAUAUUAUUAUUAUUAUUAUUAUUAUUAUUAUUAUUAUUAUUAUUAUAAAUUGCCUUUGCAAAAUUAUAAAGAUUUUGGUAAAUCAAUGUGCAUGUUCUAUCUUUAAGAAGUCUCCUCCAAUUACUAAGUCAAGUAUUAAAAUUCUAUAAAACAUUUGACUAAACAAGUACAUGAUUAUUCUAGGAAAUUUAAUAGUCAAAAUUUGGUUUAUUAUUCCAACAUAUAUAUUAUGCUUGUUUUGUUUUGGAUUCACUCAAAAGCCUAGCAAAAAUGCAUAUUUGUAAUGUAGUUAUUUUAAUUAAUCUAGACUUGCCAAGGAGUCCCAGUCCCUUUUGAGCGUGGUGGAAAAAACAUUCACAAAACAAGAGCCAAGAGCUUGGGUUUUGGUGAAAAGAAACAAACGGCAUCUAUUAUUUUUGUAUGAUUUCUCUGCUUCUUAAAUACAAUAUAAUCAUUCGCCUCAAUUAUAUAGCCCCAGUUUGGUAUUGACUUAAAUAAGAUUUUAAUUUAAGUCAAAGUAAAACAAUCAAUAUUAACCAUAUUUUUUAUCGGUCUUACAACUUUUUAAUCGUACUUUCCAAAAAUUUCUAUCAAAAUCUACAAAAAAUUUUUUCAUAGCUUGCGAUUUAUUUUCUAUUAAAAAAGAAUAUAUGUGAUGGAAAUAAAUCCAUUGCAAAUCAUUGACAGGAUUUAUUUUGUUGAAUUCUUGCCGGGUCUGCUGCAUACCCUAUACCUAAAGGCAAUUUUGCUGAAUUCUUAUGUUAUUGCUAGUGUUUAAAAUUGCGAAUUGGAUUGGCAUGUGUUCUUAUAAUGGGUUUAGUGUUGCAACCUUGGGAGUUUUAAUUCUUGUUUCUUCCAUAAGGCACUUCAACUUUGGACAGUAUUCAUUCAUACUUUUGUAGUUACUAGUGCUGAUGUUGGUUCGUAUGAUACCUUGUUUGUAGUUACUAGUGCUCAAGAAGGAGAAAAUUGUUGCAAAUGUGGACGCUAAAGGGAAGCUGCCGGCUUGACUUGAAGAUACUUAUCAAAGUGGCUAGCCUAAUUUUCUCAAUUAAAACUAAAUCAGCUUGUCCUUAUUAUUUGUGGAGGUUGAAAGUCUUGUAUGUGAUGAAUUAAGCAAAGUAGUUGAGCUUUGUGGUGCGAGGUUUUGUAUCGUGAUAGCUUGGUAUCAAAACAAGCAUCUUUUGUAGGCAAACAUUUGUACUCUCACGGCUUACUUACAAUUUAUGUAUGGU
This 1932-nucleotide long non-coding RNA is filed under the name Olea europaea (common olive). RNAcentral describes it as "long non-coding RNA (OEUR_LNC005891)". The record is from RNAcentral. Lineage: Eukaryota; Viridiplantae; Streptophyta; Magnoliopsida; Lamiales; Oleaceae.